UUCAGCAGUGGUUACAAGCAAACUGCAGUUCAACUCAUCUCCAGUGCCCAGUCAGGAUCUGGUCCUCAAAGCUAUCAGUGAUCUCCGAAACUCCAGAGAGUCACAACUCAAUGAAUCAGUCAAGCUGCUGAAUGUGACCUACGAGAAAAUCUCUGAAAACUCUUAUGAGGUCAAAUUAACAUUUGCUGUGAGUAACAUCAGCAUGCCAGUGGACAUUAAACAAAGAAACAGCACCUUAACACAUCUCCAGGAUGUUGUCAAUGUUGCGGUGAACACUCUUCUGAAUGAGCCUGGCAAAGCGUCUCUGCAACCCAACUCCUCCAGUUUCCUGAGCACACCAAACCAAAUUAAUGGCUCUUUGAAUUAUAUCAUCCGAGAUGGAGAUGCCAUACAACCAGUCAGCUUCCUACAAAAGCUCCAGUCACUCAAGGG
Molecule: non-coding RNA, 432 nt
Organism: Paramisgurnus dabryanus
Lineage: Eukaryota; Metazoa; Chordata; Actinopteri; Cypriniformes; Cobitidae
Source: RefSeq, a predicted model, not a curated record